Xenia sp. Carnegie-2017 is the source of this 2197-nucleotide RNA transcript. RefSeq lists it as uncharacterized. Lineage: Eukaryota; Metazoa; Cnidaria; Anthozoa; Malacalcyonacea; Xeniidae. The transcript is spliced from 12 exons. The record is from RefSeq and is a predicted model, not a curated record.
GAAAUGUUUGGCGGAUAACGUUUACAAACAUGGAUUUUCGAAUAUUUAAGACAUUUAGCGACGUUUUACUUAUCUCAAAUAUCUGUCAUGGAUAAAUAAAGUUAUUUAAAUCAAUGUGACAUCAAAAUUAUUUCGAUACCUGUAAAAUAUCGGCGUUCGUGUUCAUUUGAAAAUCGCUCGUGCAAGAAUCAAAUUUGCCUCAUAGUGGCCAAGGCAAGAUAAUGCACAGCUCGCUUUCCAAGUUUAGAGGCAGUUAUGAUCUAGAAUAUGUUUCAAUGCGUAAAAAUUGUGAUAAUAUCACUACACCUUGCUACAGCAUUUGGAUAUGGUUUUCAUCAGUACGUAUGGUUGUUAUUGUCAUAACAUGCAGGGGCGGAUAUAAGUUCAUAUCAUAAUGAAACAUGACCGGGCGCAAUACAGAGAAAACUGGAUUACUGCUAAUAAAGUUUUAAGAUGCAGUGAUGCAAUGCCUAAUGAUGAUGGCUGUAGUAAUCUGUUCAAUAAUGUUUUUUAUAAUGACCAUGAACAUUCACAACCUUUACAAAAAUCAAGUUGAACCAUUGCCAGUCCUAAACAAAGUUCUUUCUCUUCGAAAGUUGGUAUUAAUGAUUGUGAUAUUGGGGAAAAUGACCGUGCUGUUUCUGGUGAAGUUGAUAUUUUAGAUGUUUCUUUUUGCCUUGGAAAAGCUAAUUCUUUGGUCCAUGUGAAUGCAGACAUUGGGGAGAUGCAUUUUCUGUUUCUUCUGAUUUUGAAGAUGAUAGUUUAAAUGUUUCUUUUCAAGAUGGGUUAGUUGAUUAAGUGAAUGAGUACUCAUUGUUUAAAAGUUCUGCAAAAAAUGUAUCGCCAGUGUUGUGUGCCAUUUUGAAUAUCAAACUUGUUGUAGUGUUUCCUUUUGUCCUAACAUGUGGUGACUCCUAGCCAAAAGACUUGGAGUUUUUGGAUGAGUUUAUAGAAGAUUUGAAGGGUAUUCUAGAGAGGGGAGUCCAAGAUGGGGAAAAGAUUCUGACUGUUACAGUAAGGGGCAUUGUUUGUGAUGCUCCUGCAAGAGCACUUGCUAAAGGUACAAAAUCUUGUACUGAUUAUUUUGGUUAUGACAAGUGUACACAAAAAGGGAAGUGACUUGGUCUAGUGACUUACUCUCAAAAUAAUAAUAUAAAAUUGCGCACUAAUAUUUCUUUUAGAAAGCAGAUACAAGAAGAACAUCAUCGCUUUGUUAGCCCUUUCUGUCACUUGCCUGUUGAUAUGGCAUUUCUUUCAGCCGUCAAUGAAAUCUUAUCAACAAAUUCUAGAAAUUUGCUGGAGUACAGCGAGCUGAUCUCCCUUGCAGAAAAAGAUUUAUAUGACGAUGAACCAGCACCAGAAAUCCUAAACACAAAGGUUCAUGUACUAACUUCCCCAUCUACUAGUAGGACACCGUCUCAGUGUAGUGAUACAAGCAACGUCUCUUCACGAGGAAUUCCUACAACUGGCACAACAAGAGAAAGACAUUCUCAACGAAACAGUGAUGCGUAUGACCUUUCAUCGCACUAAACGCCUUCGACAAGUGUUAUGAACAUAACACCUGCAGGAAGACGUUCUCAACCAAACAUUAAUGAUAAGUCUUCACCAAACUGGAAUCAUUAAUUAAUAAGCAAGAAGAAGCGUUGUCAAUAUUGCGUGCUCUGUUAAGCGCUGCGAAAGGUGUAGACGAGCACGAAAUUUUGGAAGAUGUUCUACCUAAUCCUUUAGAUUUGGUUGAAGAACUUGAGGACCUAUCUUCUAGUCUUGAUGAAGAAAAGUCCAGAAGAAAGUUGCUGCAGUUUUUGUUAGCACUAUGCGCAUGCACCUGUGCAAACAGUGUUAGAAGAGUUAUGACAAAGCUGGGAACAAAUAAUCUAUGGUCCCAAUAUAGUUUAAAAGGCAGAAAGUCAAGCGACCAUUUCAACACCUUGUCCUCUGCAAAGUUAUAACAAAAGCCUGCCUCAAAGCUCAUAAAGGAUGCAGCGAGGCCAACGUUGAAGAGCAAAUUGCCGAAUUUUUAAAAUAUGCUCCAGGCAAGCAAGGUGGUUCCAGAUUUAAGGUAACAUGUCAUUAUCAUCAUAGAUUGCUGGGUCCGAAAAGGCAACUUAUUGGAAUCGGCUUAAUUAGCAUUUUUGUAAAUAUGUAUAUUAAAACACGCACAGCAAAAUAGAUGAAUUAAAAGUUGAUUAUACGGAAA